RNAcentral lists this ribosomal RNA (468 nucleotides) under uncultured bacterium. RNAcentral's name for it is "partial 16S ribosomal RNA". It matches the Rfam family "Bacterial small subunit ribosomal RNA", at positions 28 to 507 of the family's 1533-position model. The record is from RNAcentral.
GACGAACGCUGGCGGCGUGCUUAACACAUGCAAGUCGAACGGAAAGGCCCUGCUGUUGUGGGGUGCUCGAGUGGCGAACGGGUGUGUAACACGUGAGUAACCUGCCCUUGACUUUGGGAUAACUUCAGGAAACUGGGGCUAAGAACGGAUAGGAGCUCCUGCUGCAUGGUGGGGGUUGGAAAGUUUCGGCGGUUGGGGAUGGACUCGCGGCUUAUCAGCUUGUUGGUGGGGUAGUGGCUUACCAAGGCUUUGACAGGUAGCCGACCUGAGAGGGUGAACGGGCACAUGGGGACUAAGGUACGGCGCAGUAUCCUACGGGAGGCAGCGGUGGAAAAUAUUGCGCAAUAGUGGGAAGCGUGAUACGACGACGCCGCGUGCGUAAUGCCCGCCUACGGGUUGUAAACAGCUGUGGACUGAAACGAGGCGGGAGUGACGGUACUGAAUAAGAAAGCACCGGCUAACUACGUG